Molecule: ribosomal RNA, 468 nt
Filed under: uncultured bacterium
Lineage: Bacteria
Description: partial 16S ribosomal RNA
Rfam family: Bacterial small subunit ribosomal RNA
Source: RNAcentral
GACGAACGCUGGCGGCGUGCUUAACACAUGCAAGUCGAACGGAAAGGCCCUGCUUUUGUGGGGUGCUCGAGUGGCGAACGGGUGAGUAACACGUGAGUAACCUGCCCUUGACUUUGGGAUAACUUCAGGAAACUGGGGCUAAUACCGGAUAGGAGCUCCUGCUGCAUGGUGGGGGUUGGAAAGUUUCGGCGGUUGGGGAUGGACUCGCGGCUUAUCAGCUUGUUGGUGGGGUAGUGGCUGACCAAGGCUUUGACGGGUAGCCGGCCUGAGAGGGUGAACAGCGACAUUAGGACUGAGAGACGGCGCAGACUCCAACAGGAGGCAGCGGUGGGGAGUAUUACACAGUGAGCGGAAGCCUGAGACAGCGACGUCGCGUGCGGGAUGACGGCCUUCGGGGUAAGAACCGCUUUCGCCUGUGACGAAGCGGGAGUGACGGUAAUGAGUAAAGAAGCACCGGCUAACUACGUG